GGGUUGUGAGGUUAAGCGACUAAGCGUACACGGUGGAUGCCCUGGCAGUCAGAGGCGAUGAAGGACGUGCUAAUCUGCGAAAAGCGUCGGUAAGGUGAUAUGAACCGUUAUAGCCGGCGAUGUCCGAAUGGGGAAACCCAGUGCAAUUCGUUGCACUAUCGUUAACUGAAUACAUAGGUUAACGAGGCGAACCGGGGGAACUGAAACAUCUAAGUACCCCGAGGAAAAGAAAUCAACCGAGAUUCCCCCAGUAGCGGCGAGCGAACGGGGAGCAGCCCGGAGUCUGAAUCAGCUUGUGUGUUAGUGGAAGCGUCUGGAAAGUCGCAGGGUACAGGGUGAUACUCCCGUACACUAAAACACACAGGUUGUGAACUCGAAGAGUAGGGCGGGACACGUGGUAUCCUGUCUGAAUAUGGGGGGACCAUCCUCCAAGGCUAAAUACUCCUGACUGACCGAUAGUGAACCAGUACCGUGAGGGAAAGGCGAAAAGAACCCCGGCGAGGGGAGUGAAAAAGAACCUGAAACCGUGUACGUACAAGCAGUAGGAGCCCACUUGUUGGGUGACUGCGUACCUUUUGUAUAAUGGGUCAGCGACUUAUAUUCUGUAGCAAGGUUAACCGUAUAGGGGAGCCGCAGGGAAACCGAGUCUUAACUGGGCGUUAAGUUGCAGGGUAUAGACCCGAAACCCGGUGAUCUAGCCAUGGGCAGGUUGAAGGUUGGGUAACACUAACUGGAGGACCGAACCGACUAAUGUUGAAAAAUUAGCGGAUGACUUGUGGCUGGGGGUGAAAGGCCAAUCAAACCGGGAGAUAGCUGGUUCUCCCCGAAAGCUAUUUAGGUAGCGCCUCGUGAAUUCAUCUUCGGGGGUAGAGCACUGUUUCGGCUAGGGGGUCAUCCCGACUUACCAACCCGAUGCAAACUACGAAUACCGAAGAAUGUUAUCACGGGAGACACACGGCGGGUGCUAACGUCCGUCGUGAAGAGGGAAACAACCCAGACCGCCAGCUAAGGUCCCAAAGUCAUGGUUAAGUGGGAAACGAUGUGGGAAGGCCCAGACAGCCAGGAUGUUGGCUUAGAAGCAGCCAUCAUUUAAAGAAAGCGUAAUAGCUCACUGGUCGAGUCGGCCUGCGCGGAAGAUGUAACGGGGCUAAACCAUGCACCGAAGCUGCGGCAGCGACACUAUGUGUUGUUGGGUAGGGGAGCGUUCUGUAAGCCGUUGAAGGUGGCCUGUGAGGGUUGCUGGAGGUAUCAGAAGUGCGAAUGCUGACAUAAGUAACGAUAAUGCGGGUGAAAAACCCGCACGCCGGAAGACCAAGGGUUCCUGUCCAACGUUAAUCGGGGCAGGGUGAGUCGACCCCUAAGGCGAGGCCGAAAGGCGUAGUCGAUGGGAAACAGGUUAAUAUUCCUGUACUCGGUGUUACUGCGAAGGGGGGACGGAGAAGGCUAUGUUGGCCGGGCGACGGUUGUCCCGGUUUAAGCAUGUAGGCGGAUGUUCCAGGUAAAUCCGGAACGUCACUAACGCUGAGGUGUGAUGACGAGGCACUACGGUGCUGAAGUGACAAAUGCCCUGCUUCCAGGAAAAGCCUCUAAGCAUCAGGUAACAUCAAAUCGUACCCCAAACCGACACAGGUGGUCAGGUAGAGAAUACCAAGGCGCUUGAGAGAACUCGGGUGAAGGAACUAGGCAAAAUGGUGCCGUAACUUCGGGAGAAGGCACGCUGAUGGUAGGUGAAGUGACUUGCUCAUGGAGCUGAAAUCAGUCGAAGAUACCAGCUGGCUGCAACUGUUUAUUAAAAACACAGCACUGUGCAAACACGAAAGUGGACGUAUACGGUGUGACGCCUGCCCGGUGCCGGAAGGUUAAUUGAUGGGGUUAUCCGUAAGGAGAAGCUCUUGAUCGAAGCCCCGGUAAACGGCGGCCGUAACUAUAACGGUCCUAAGGUAGCGAAAUUCCUUGUCGGGUAAGUUCCGACCUGCACGAAUGGCGUAAUGAUGGCCAGGCUGUCUCCACCCGAGACUCAGUGAAAUUGAACUCGCUGUGAAGAUGCAGUGUACCCGCGGCAAGACGGAAAGACCCCGUGAACCUUUACUAUAGCUUGACACUGAACACUGGUCCUUGAUGUGUAGGAUAGGUGGGAGGCUUUGAAGUGUGGACGCCAGUCUGCAUGGAGCCAUCCUUGAAAUACCACCCUUUAAUGGCUGGUGUUCUAACGUGGGCCCCUAAUCGGGGUUGCGGACAGUGUCUGGUGGGUAGUUUGACUGGGGCGGUCUCCUCCUAAAGAGUAACGGAGGAGCACGAAGGUCAGCUAAUCCUGGUCGGACAUCAGGAGGUUAGUGCAAUGGCAUAAGCUGGCUUGACUGCGAGCGUGACGGCGCGAGCAGGUGCGAAAGCAGGUCAUAGUGAUCCGGUGGUUCUGAAUGGAAGGGCCAUCGCUCAACGGAUAAAAGGUACUCCGGGGAUAACAGGCUGAUACCGCCCAAGAGUUCAUAUCGACGGCGGUGUUUGGCACCUCGAUGUCGGCUCAUCACAUCCUGGGGCUGAAGUAGGUCCCAAGGGUAUGGCUGUUCGCCAUUUAAAGUGGUACGCGAGCUGGGUUUAGAACGUCGUGAGACAGUUCGGUCCCUAUCUGCCGUGGGCGCUGGAGAAUUGAGGGGGGCUGCUCCUAGUACGAGAGGACCGGAGUGGACGCAUCACUGGUGUUCGGGUUGUCAUGCCAAUGGCAUUGCCCGGUAGCUAAAUGCGGAAGAGAUAAGUGCUGAAAGCAUCUAAGCACGAAACUUGCCCCGAGAUGAGUUCUCCCUGACUCCUUGAGAGUCCUGAAGGAACGUUGAAGACGACGACGUUGAUAGGCCGGGUGUGUAAGCGCAGCGAUGCGUUGAGCUAACCGGUACUAAUGAACCGUGAGGCUUAACCUUACAACGCCGAAG
This 2927-nucleotide ribosomal RNA is filed under the name Klebsiella michiganensis. RNAcentral describes it as "23S ribosomal RNA". It matches the Rfam family "Bacterial large subunit ribosomal RNA". The record is from RNAcentral. Lineage: Bacteria; Pseudomonadati; Pseudomonadota; Gammaproteobacteria; Enterobacterales; Enterobacteriaceae.